RNAcentral lists this ribosomal RNA (224 nucleotides) under uncultured soil bacterium. RNAcentral's name for it is "partial 16S ribosomal RNA". It matches the Rfam family "Bacterial small subunit ribosomal RNA", at positions 26 to 250 of the family's 1533-position model. The record is from RNAcentral.
AGAUUGAACGCUGGCGGAAUGCUUUACAUAUGCAAGUCGAACGGCAGCACGGGGGCAACCCUGGUGGCGAGUGGCGAACGGGUGAGUAAUACAUCGGAACGUGCCCAGUCGUGGGGGAUAACUACGCGAAAGCGUAGCUAAAUACCGCAUACGAACUCUGGUUGAAAGCGGGGGAUCGCAAAGACCUCGCGCGAUUGGAGCGGCCGAUGGCAGAUUAGGUAGUU